This 1367-nucleotide long non-coding RNA is filed under the name Cyanistes caeruleus (blue tit). RNAcentral describes it as "lncRNA (ENSCCEG00000021334.1)". Lineage: Eukaryota; Metazoa; Chordata; Aves; Passeriformes; Paridae. The record is from RNAcentral.
ACAGCCUUUCAUUAAUUAUUUAGGGAAAAGCUCAGCUGUUUUAGAUGGCAGAAGAAUGCAAUGUAAGGCAGCACUACCUGCAGAACUUUGAAUUGAGACUGUGCGUCAUGGUAGGAAGAAGGGAAGCAGAAGAGGAUGAAAUAGGAAAAGAAAAACCCAUGCAUAUUUAAGUACAAGUCAUCAGAAGCAGAUUGUUGUAGAACUGCUUGUAUGAGGAUAAUCUCUGUGUUACAACAUCUUUCAAAAUAUGUUAAAAUCCCUGAAUCAGCCACGAGGCUCCUGGCAGAUAUUGGAGGAAUUUGGGAGCAUUUUGUGCAGAAGCUUGGUGUUGAUUUGGUAUGUGAUCCACAGUGUUGUGAGCAGAUCCUAAACCCCUUCAGUGUCCUCCUAAAUGGGAGUCCUGAAGAAGCAGAAAAACACCCGAACCCAGAAUCCCAAGUUAUCUCUGCUAACUGCAAGGAAUGAUCCAAACUUGCAGGGUGAAGAACUGCAGAGAAAGAUAUGCAUGGAUAACAGACUUAGAACAACUCCAGAAGAAAAAUGCUGCUCACAGAGUGCUGGCAUACAUUCAGAAAUCAGCCUUCUGUUUUGGAUACAGCCACAUUUCCUGCCCAUACCCACUCUCUCAGCACUGAUGCCAGCCAAAGCUCAUCCUCUGCUGAAGGACCUUCAGCUCAGCCUUCCCCAAAUAUAUUGGAAAGACAAUGUAUUAACAAAACAAAACAAAAAAGAAGCAGAAAAGGAGAGAGACAAGAGCACAGAGGAGGCCCGGAGGGAAAGAAAAAUAUUCAAAUAAUGGAGUAAGGGUGAGGCUGGCAAACUUUGUGGCAGUGAAACAACAGAUGGACUGUAGUUUUAGUGAUUCAUCACACAGAUGGUUCAGCAGAUGGAUUCUGUUGGGUUCAUACAGCUUAGGUGGAAAUAUCAGCUGCUGAUCUUGACAGGCAGGGCAGCUUCAGCAGAGGCAGUAUCCUUGCUUUGCCUUCCCUUGUACAUGUCCUGUUUUCCCAGACUGGCAGUGCAGGGACAAUGCUGAGUGCCACAGCAUUGGCCAGCCUUUGUGCUCCUUACAUGCCACAUAGUUCAAGAUUUUCUCUGUCUGUUCUAGGAAGGAAAAAGUUUGCUGUGAGUGGAUGUACCACCUCAUUUCUGCCACCCAGUCAAGUGACAAAUGCUGUUCCUUGGGAAACAAAAACAUCUACAGAUUGUGAUGAUUUCUAUCUAUAAAAAUUCUGUCAGCCUGGAUAGCAUUUCUGACAGAGUAUAACUUCUCCAAGGGAUGAAACAUCUUCCCAGUUUUACUGUGGGGGGUCUAGAUUCCCAAAUAACCUAUGACCAUUAAUGCAAUAAAGAGGAAUUAAAGCACA